UACGAAGGGGGCUAGCGUUGUUCGGAAUUACUGGGCGUAAAGCGUGUGUAGGUGGUUGUCAUAGUCAGGCGUGAAAGCCUUGAGCUCAACUCAAGAAAUGCGCUUGAUACUGGGCAGCUAGAGGACCGGGAGAGGUGAGUGGAAUUCCCAGUGUAGCGGUGAAAUGCGUAGAUAUUGGGAGGAACACCAGUGGCGAAGGCGGCUCACUGGACCGGAACUGACGCUGAGGCGCGAAAGCGUGGGGAGCAAACAGG
RNAcentral lists this ribosomal RNA (254 nucleotides) under uncultured bacterium. RNAcentral's name for it is "partial 16S ribosomal RNA". It matches the Rfam family "Bacterial small subunit ribosomal RNA", at positions 524 to 776 of the family's 1533-position model. The record is from RNAcentral.